UACGGGGGGGGCAAGCGUUGUUCGGAAUUACUGGGCGUAAAGGGUCGGUAGGUGGCCAACUAAGUCAGACGUGAAAUCCCUCAGCUUAACUGGGGAACUGCGUCUGAGACUGGAUGGCUCGAGUGCAGGAGAGGAAUGCGGAAUUCCAGGUGUAGCGGUGAAAUGCGUAGAUAUCUGGAGGAACACCGGUGGCGAAGGCGGCAUUCUGGACUGCAACUGACACUGAACGACGAAAGCCAGGGGAGCAAACGGG
This 253-nucleotide ribosomal RNA is filed under the name uncultured bacterium. RNAcentral's name for it is "partial 16S ribosomal RNA". It matches the Rfam family "Bacterial small subunit ribosomal RNA", at positions 524 to 776 of the family's 1533-position model. The record is from RNAcentral.